This is a long non-coding RNA of Equus caballus (horse), 1602 nucleotides long. The record is from Ensembl. Lineage: Eukaryota; Metazoa; Chordata; Mammalia; Perissodactyla; Equidae.
CAUCAUUUCUGUAGCCAGCGGUUCUGAACCUUGGCUACACAUUAGAAUCAGCUGAGGAACUUACACUUCUCUGCCAGGCUCCCCACCUCCCCCAGGAUCUGACUUAAGCGGUCUGGAAAGUGGCCCAGGCAUAACCAUUUGGGGGACCCUGGUGAUUCUCAUGGGCAGGUAGAGCCUGGGAACCACUGGGAAGCCCUGGCUUGGUCUCCAAAGCACAGGUUCUAAGGAGAGUAAAUGGAAGCUAGAAAAGGAGGAUGGUGGAAGAAACGAGACUUAGAAAUAAAGGAUUAAAGAGAAACUAAUCAGGACACAAAAUGCAAAGACGAAAAGGUUGAGAACUCCUCCCACCUCAAAAUAGCUUUUCUUUCACACCAGGCACUAGUUAGCUGCAAAAAUGUGAUCUCUACACAGAAGUUGAUAAUAAGAGGCCGCUCCCAAAGCUGCUGGAGCAGGUGUUUCCUCCCAAAAGAGGGCGGGCCAGAACUAUAAAUCUCAUUUUGGAAGUUUCAAGCCCUGGGGAUACUAUUCUGCGUUGCUGCCACUCUCGCUGCCAUCUGUACCGAAUCUCAGCUCCCGUUUCUGGGGCAGCCCUCCAUCCAACUGGCAGCCCCACAGUUUGCAUUCUUGCACAGUGUGUGAAUGGAGGGGGAGAGCCUUUGGCAAGGCAGCCCUGGGGUCUCCUUCCCUCAAAAGAUUUGCCAGUGAUCCUUGCCCUGCUGGCUUCCUCUUUAAUUGGCCCACGCUGUGGGGAGCAAUUGAGAUUAAAUGGCCGCUUGCUGGGUGGCUGUGCUGUGCUAGGCGUGCGUGGCCCUAUUUGGAGCAUUUGUUGUAUCCAGGAUUGAAUGAAGCAAGUGCUGCUGCUGAAGCUCGCGGGGUGUUCCUUGAAGCCAUGUCAAAGCAGGCUCUUAAUUUUGCAAAACAGCCUCCAAAGUCAAACUGGCUCUGUACCGGAGCCAUUCCGGGCAGAGGGAUGUCACGAGCAGAAGCCAGAAGGCACAGAAAGAAGUGGGCAGAAGGAAAUUUAGGGCUAUGAAUCAAGAAAAUAGGUUAUUGUGCAACUGCCAGCUUGCUUUGAAUAGCCAGCAAGGACAGGGAGGGAUCCCCCUCCAUUCAUAGAGUUCAGCCCAACGUGCUGGGAUAUCACUAAAUGGAAAAGAAGAGCAUCCAGGACAAUCAGCCUGUGAGAGGCAGCCCUGUGCUCGUUGCCUCAGGGCAGAAGUCACAAGCAACCUGGGACUCCACAGGACUUGUUUCCAAAUCUGAACCCCUUGGGUCUAGGGUAGAAUUCUCAGGAAAGAUUAAUCUCUCUGGGAGAAGAAGUUGCCGUGUUAUGAACAGCUCUAGGAAAGGCCCAAGUUGUAAAGAACUGAAGCCUCUGGAUGAUAGCUAGUAAGGACCUGAAGGCUUCAAUACAACAGACUGAAGUAACUGAGGCCUGCCAAUGACCACGUGAGUGAGCUUGGAAACAGAGUCUCCAUCCUCAGUCAAGCCUUGAGGUGACUGCAACCUCCUAAGAGACUCUGAACAAGAACCCCCUAGCUCAGCCACUCCCAGAUUACUGGCCCUCAAAAACUCUGUGAGAUAAUAAAUGUUUGGUGUUUU